CCUACGGGUGGCAGCAGUCGAGAAUCAUUCACAAUGGGGGAAACCCUGAUGCUGCGACGCCGCGUGGGGGAAUGAAGGUCUUCGGAUUGUAAACCCCUUUCAUGUGGGAGCAAAUUAAAAAGAUAGUACCACAAGAGGAAGAGACGGCUAACUCUGUGCCAGCAGCCGCGGUAAUACAGAGGUCUCAAGCGUUGUUCGGAAUCACUGGGCGUAAAGCGGGCGUAGGCGGUUUCGUAAGUCGUGUGUGAAAGGCGCGGGCUCAACCCGCGGACGGCACAUGAUACUGGGAGACUAGAGUAAGGGAGGGGGAACCGGAAUUCUCGGUGUAGCAGUGAAAUGCGUAGAUAUCGAGAGGAACACUCGUGGCGAAGGCGAGUUCCUGGACAUUAACUGACGCUGAGGCACGAAGGCAAGGGGAGCGAAAGGGAUUAGAUACCCCUGUAGUC
Molecule: ribosomal RNA, 446 nt
Filed under: uncultured bacterium
Lineage: Bacteria
Description: partial 16S ribosomal RNA
Rfam family: Bacterial small subunit ribosomal RNA
Source: RNAcentral